CUUUUAUAUAACCCUAUUUUCCCCAUCAGCCACCCUCCUCCCUCCCUUAUCAGCCACUUGCACCUCGCCCCGCCGCUCGCCGUUCCUGCUCGACACCAUCUCAUCGACUGUCGCUGCACGCUGCAUGGUUUAAAUUUUGUUUUGAGUUGAGAGAUAAGCUGGUUUAAAUAUUUCCGUUGCCGGUUGAAAGAUAAGUUGCAAAACUCUAUUUUCUAGGGUCGUUGUCUUUGGCAUGUGCUAUUAUUAGGUCAAAAAGAUAUGGUGUAAGUAACUUGUACCAGGAUAGACUUUACUAGGCGUUGAUUUAAGUAAUUCAAUUUUGUUGUUGUCUGAUGCAUCUCUUUAUUUUAUUUUUCUUAGGGAGUUUAUAGACCUUAUAGUAUCACCAACUUCGAAGGUCUUAAAUGAGUGGUUCGAGUCAGACAUAUUAAAGGCAACACUUGCAGGAGAUGCCAUCAUUGGGACUAUGGCUUUGGUUGGUAGAUGAUGAAACAAGUAGAAUGCUCGCACAAAUUUUCGAAAUCAAUGGAGGACCGAAUAACUAAUUGCAUUUGGUUUCAAGAGGCAAAAUAUCAGAUGUGGGGUACGAAGUAAGAGGUAUCUUGACUCUCUGUAGGUAUGCUGUUUCUGAGUUCAUCUGUUUGCAAAGCAAGUCAAACAGAGUGGAUGAGGGGACAUUUCUCUAGGUUAUCGAGGAUGGCGUGCAGUUUUUAUCAAAUAUUCUUACACAGUGGAUAAGCAUUCCAUUUCGAGUGCCCAAGUGCUUGUCUUGUGUAAGGCCUUGCAUUGGGUCUCAACUAUUUGCCACUACCGAUGCUCGUAAACUGGAUGAAAUAUCUAUUCCAUUCGGCUUCCAUCUAUCGUUAAAUCUUUGUCUUCAACUCAAAAACAUUGCAUCAAACAUGUCAGUUCAAAUCACCAAGAUGUAAUGCAUUUUUUAUUGUGAUUUGUCCUUCCAGGAACUCAAGCACAAUGGUAAGAACAUUAAAAAACAUCAGGUUUUCCAAUUACUUAUUUACUGCAGAGUUUUCUUGAUCUUUGUUGCUUUUCGAGUGUUCAUAGAAAUGUUGGAAGCUGGAGCUUAUCCUAUAAACUAUACGCUCGGAAUCGUGUGUAAUGCUUGUUGUUCCUUGCAAUCUAUCGAAUUCGGGAAGCAGGUUCAUGCAUAUAUCAUCAAAUAUCAUAUAGAUUCACUGAUUUAAAUAGUUAGUAUCUACUAGCGUUCUUUAACAUCCGAUUUAAAUAGUUAGUAUCUAGCUCUGUAACAGAAUCGGUAUUUCUAUUACAUUAGUAACAUCUGAUUUAAAUAGUUAGUAUCUAGCUCUGUAAGCAUCAUUCUAGUAUUCAAUUUAAAUUAUUUGAUCAUUCAAUAAGUAUCACUACAAGAAUUUUUCCUUGAAUGUACCAUUUAUGCACAUUCCCAAUAAACACGGUUAGUUGAAUAUGAAUUUUGAUAACAUUUUCACUUUCAAUCCUUUGUAUUAAACCUUUUUUGUUUGUGUAUUUUUUAGGUGUUUAGAAGGGGUGGAGAGGAGAUGGAUUUCUUGCAACAGCAAGGGAUUGUGAAAAUUAUUCCUGAUGCAACAAAGGAGUAAAUAUUUGAUAACCUCUUUAUGCUUUUUCUUGGGGAACUUUAG
This is a non-coding RNA of Benincasa hispida (wax gourd), 1637 nucleotides long. The record is from RefSeq and is a predicted model, not a curated record. NCBI's taxonomy places the organism in Eukaryota, Viridiplantae, Streptophyta, Magnoliopsida, Cucurbitales, Cucurbitaceae.